Molecule: transfer RNA, 74 nt
Filed under: Lactobacillus gasseri 202-4
Lineage: Bacteria; Bacillati; Bacillota; Bacilli; Lactobacillales; Lactobacillaceae
Description: tRNA-Gly
Rfam family: tRNA
About the family: Transfer RNA (tRNA) molecules are approximately 80 nucleotides in length. Their secondary structure includes four short double-helical elements and three loops (D, anti-codon, and T loops).
Source: RNAcentral
GCGGGUAUAGUUUAAUGGUAAAAUGUCAGCUUCCCAAGCUGAAGAUGCGGGUUCGAUUCACGCUAUCCGCUUAU